AGGUCAUUCUGAUUGUUUAGAAUCAGUUCUUGAGGCUGCCCACUCCAACCCGAUUUCGGAAUCCUGGGGAUUUGCCCGUUUUGUUAAUGUGAAGGAUGCCAAGGGGGCAACGCCAUUGCAUCUUGCUGCGAAGCAAGGUCGGUCAGCCUGCGUCAGAAUGCUAUUGGAUAAAGGAGCUCGUCUGUGCUUCUAUCGUUGACUACGGGUAGCUUGGUGCUGAUUAUUAUCUUUUGUUAUUUGUAAUCAAUUAGUAAGUUUUCUAGCAUUUGCUUAUAGUUUUCAGCAAAAGGUGAUCAUUGAAGGAUUGGGGUGGUUUUCGUUAAUUUAGGAAGGUGAUUUAGGAAUUCCAUCACAGAGGAGCCUUGAUGCUAUGGAUGUUACAACUUCUCCCACACGGUCUUCCAAUUUCUGCACGCCAGGUCAUGUAUGAGCUUCGUGUCUACUCACUUGAAGAGGCAACGAUGAUUUGGGAGAGGGUACUAGUACUGAUCUAGAUGCUUAUGAAGUCAACAAUAAGUUGCAGAUUACACAAGAACACGGCUCAUCUGAUUCAAAGUUCGCUCCUAGCGAUCCUGUUGGGCUAGCUGAUGUUGAGGUAGAUUUAAUAACCAACAGUUCUGAAAAGAUAGAAGUUGAUGUUGCUGUAUCUAUACAGGAGCAAUGUUCAAACUCUCCAGUUCAGAAUGACCAACUCGAUUCAUAUAUUAAGGAGACAAUGUCUAUUGAGAAGGAAGAAUAAAACAGUUUUUUAGUUAAUU
Molecule: long non-coding RNA, 758 nt
Organism: Dendrobium catenatum
Lineage: Eukaryota; Viridiplantae; Streptophyta; Magnoliopsida; Asparagales; Orchidaceae
Exons: 3
Source: RefSeq, a predicted model, not a curated record